This 1299-nucleotide long non-coding RNA is filed under the name Anser brachyrhynchus (Pink-footed goose). RNAcentral describes it as "lncRNA (ENSABRG00000013197.1)". The record is from RNAcentral. Lineage: Eukaryota; Metazoa; Chordata; Aves; Anseriformes; Anatidae.
AUGGAGUGCUUCUGUCUGCAUACCAUGAGCCCUCACCUCCUCCUGAUUUCAAACGCUCGGGGGAGGUUAGGAUCGCUUUGUUUGCCCUGCCAAAGAGUACAUGCUGUAACAAGUGAAUGUGGGCAUAAGUGGUGUGCCACAAACUUCACUCCGUGCCACUUAAGGAAGGACGGGGAGAACUGGAUAUCCGCCAGCCAGUAUAAAGAUUAAGAUCCUGAAGGGAGGUGCUCUGGCCAUGAUGUGACCAGCCAUCAGCAGCACAGGAGCACACCAGUGGAGGAUCCAGAUCUGUUCCUGCUCAGGGUCAUGUCAGUGCUGCUGGCCAGGUUUGACCCUCAGAGCCAGGGCAGACCCAGGGCUUCUGCCUGUGGGUUUCUCAUAGGCAAUGUGCAAGGCCUGGGAGAAAAAAAGGAAAGGAGAGGAGAGGAGAGGAGAGGAGGGGAGGGGAGGGGAGGGGAGAGAUUAGGAACAACUGUGUGAGAGCUUAAUUUUCAACUGCAUUUUCCUGCUCAGGGUCAUGUCAGUGCUGCUGGCCAGGUUUGACCCUCAGAGCCAGGGCAGACCCAGGGCUUCUGCCUGUGGGUUUCUCAUAGGCAAUGUGCAAGGCCUGGGAGAAAAAAAGGAAAGGAGAGGAGAGGAGAGGAGAGGAGAGGAGAGGAGAGGAGAGGAGAGAUUAGGAACAACUGUGUGAGAGCUUAAUUUUCAACUGCAUUUUCCAGCAGUUAUGCCCUCUUAUUUCCAAGGGAUUCAGAUAAUGUAACCCAGAUGCUUCUCUGGCUAUCACUUGAGAGAUUCAAAAGUGGUUUUUUUUUUUUUUUUCCUUCAGUCAGGAAAUGAAAAAAUCCUUUUAUAGCUGUUUCAUUUCAACAGAUGAUUUUGCCGUCAGCUUUUUAACUUCUAACUAAAUACAAAAUCAAAAUGAAAAUGAAAAGUCAUUUCAACUGACAAACUUUUUUCCAGACUCUUUCAAUAUUGUUCCAACUUUCUCCCCUCUUUUUACUGAAAUUUUAUGAUGGGCAAAAAUUGAAUAAUUUUAUACAUCUUAAAAAUAUAUUUUAUUAAAAGUAGUACCACUUUUUUAAUGCAAAGCAGCUUUUCUAGCAGCUCUACCUCCCACACUUAAAUUCAACCUUCCACAGUAAACUCAAACUACUCUUUAAAACAUUUAUUAGACAUGUUCUGCAGAAUGCUACAUAUCCUCUGCUCUUUUGGACGUGUGCAGAGGGUGUUUGACAUCUUAAAGCCAGAGAUGUUUAGAAUGCAAAUAAACGUGCAAGGGUGCUAUUUUUUUUUCUAAUG